GAUGAACGCUAGCUACAGGCUUAACACAUGCAAGUCGAGGGGCAUCAGGAAGAAAGCUUGCUUUCUUUGCUGGCGACCGGCGCACGGGUGAGUAACACGUAUCCAACCUGCCCUUUACUCGGGGAUAGCCUUUCGAAAGAAAGAUUAAUACCCGAUGGCAUAAUGAUUCCGCAUGGUUUCAUUAUUAAAGGAUUCCGGUAAAGGAUGGGGAUGCGUUCCAUUAGGUUGUUGGUGAGGUAACGGCUCACCAAGCCUUCGAUGGAUAGGGGUUCUGAGAGGAAGGUCCCCCACAUUGGAACUGAGACACGGUCCAAACUCCUACGGGAGGCAGCAGUGAGGAAUAUUGGUCAAUGGGCGCUAGCCUGAACCAGCCAAGUAGCGUGAAGGAUGAAGGCUCUAUGGGUCGUAAACUUCUUUUAUAUAAGAAUAAAGUGCAGUAUGUAUACUGUUUUGUAUGUAUUAUAUGAAUAAGGAUCGGCUAACUCCGUGCCAGCAGCCGCGGUAAUACGGAGGAUCCGAGCGUUAUCCGGAUUUAUUGGGUUUAAAGGGAGCGUAGGUGGACUGGUAAGUCAGUUGUGAAAGUUUGCGGCUCAACCGUAAAAUUGCAGUUGAUACUGUCAGUCUUGAGUACAGUAGAGGUGGGCGGAAUUCGUGGUGUAGCGGUGAAAUGCUUAGAUAUCACGAAGAACUCCGAUUGCGAAGGCAGCUCACUGGACUGCAACUGACACUGAUGCUCGAAAGUGUGGGUAUCAAACAGGAUUAGAUACCCUGGUAGUCCACACAGUAAACGAUGAAUACUCGCUGUUUGCGAUAUACAGUAAGCGGCCAAGCGAAAGCAUUAAGUAUUCCACCUGGGGAGUACGCCGGCAACGGUGAAACUCAAAGGAAUUGACGGGGGCCCGCACAAGCGGAGGAACAUGUGGUUUAAUUCGAUGAUACGCGAGGAACCUUACCCGGGCUUAAAUUGCAGUGGAGUGAUGUGGAAACAUGUCAGUGAGCAAUCACCGCUGUGAAGGUGCUGCAUGGUUGUCGUCAACUCGUGCCGUGAGGUGUCGGCUUAAGUGCCAUAACGAGCGCAACCCUUAUCUUCAGUUACUAACAGGUCAUGCUGAGGACUCUGGAGAGACUGCCGUCGUAAGAUGUGAGGAAGGUGGGGAUGACGUCAAAUCAGCACGGCCCUUACGUCCGGGGCUACACACGUGUUACAAUGGGGGGUACAGAAGGCAGCUAGCGGGUGACCGUAUGCUAAUCCCAAAAUCCUCUCUCAGUUCGGGUCGAAGUCUGCAACCCGACUUCGUGAAGCUGGAUUCGCUAGUAAUCGCGCAUCAGCCACGGCGCGGUGAAUACGUUCCCGGGCCU
Molecule: ribosomal RNA, 1359 nt
Filed under: uncultured bacterium
Lineage: Bacteria
Description: bacterial SSU rRNA
Rfam family: Bacterial small subunit ribosomal RNA
Source: RNAcentral